GAUGAACGCUGGCGGCGUGCCUUAUGCAUGCAAGUCGAACGGUCCUUCCGGUUUCGGCCGGAAGGGUAGUGGCGAACGGGUGAGUAACACGUAUGUAACCUAUCCGAAUGUGGGGGAUAACUCGCCGAAAGGCGGACUAAUACCGCAUGUGGUCGCCGGUGAGAACCCGGUGGACAAAAGCCGCAAGGCGCGUUCGGAGGGGCGUGCGGCCGAUUAGCUUGUUGGUGGGGUAACGGCUCACCAAGGCGACGAUCGGUAGCUGGUCUGAGAGGACGGCCAGCCACACGGGGACUGAGACACGGCCCCGACUCCUACGGGAGGCAGCAGCAAGGAAUCUUGCGCAAUGGGCGAAAGCCUGACGCAGCAACGCCGCGUGGGGGAUGAAGGCCCUCGGGUCGUAAACCCCUUUUGCUGGGGAAGCAACUGACGGUACCCAGCGAAUAAGCCACGGCUAACUACGUGCCAGCAGCCGCGGUAAUACGUAGGUGGCAAGCGUUGUCCGGAUUUACUGGGCGUAAAGCGCACGCAGGUGGCCUGUCAAGUCCAGGGUGAAAUCUCCCGGCUCAACCGGGAAGGGUCUCUGGAUACUGGCAGGCUUGAGGGCAGCAGAGGAGAGCAGAAUUCCCGGUGUAGCGGUGAUAUGCGUAGAUAUCGGGAGGAAUACCAGUGGCGAAGGCGGCUCUCUGGGCUGUCCCUGACGCUGAGGUGCGAAAGCGUGGGGAGCAAACCGGAUUAGAUACCCGGGUAGUCCACGCUGUAAACGUUGGGCACUAGUGUGGGGGGGGGUAUUGACCCCCUUCCGUGCCGUAGCUAACGCGAUAAGUGCCCCGCCUGGGGGAGUACGGCCGCAAGGCUA
This 856-nucleotide ribosomal RNA is filed under the name uncultured Bacillota bacterium. RNAcentral describes it as "bacterial SSU rRNA". It matches the Rfam family "Bacterial small subunit ribosomal RNA", at positions 28 to 896 of the family's 1533-position model. The record is from RNAcentral. Lineage: Bacteria; Bacillati; Bacillota.